GAUGAACGCUGGCGGCGUGCCUAAUACAUGCAAGUCGAGCGAACAGACGAGGAGCUUGCUCCUCUGACGUUAGCGGCGGACGGGUGAGUAACACGUGGAUAACCUACCUAUAAGACUGGGAUAACUUCGGGAAACCGGAGCUAAUACCGGAUAAUAUAUUGAACCGCAUGGUUCAAUAGUGAAAGGCGGCUUUGCUGUCACUUAUAGAUGGAUCCGCGCCGCAUUAGCUAGUUGGUAAGGUAACGGCUUACCAAGGCAACGAUGCGUAGCCGACCUGAGAGGGUGAUCGGCCACACUGGAACUGAGACACGGUCCAGACUCCUACGGGAGGCAGCAGUAGGGAAUCUUCCGCAAUGGGCGAAAGCCUGACGGAGCAACGCCGCGUGAGUGAUGAAGGUCUUCGGAUCGUAAAACUCUGUUAUUAGGGAAGAACAAAUGUGUAAGUAACUAUGCACGUCUUGACGGUACCUAAUCAGAAAGCCACGGCUAACUACGUG
This 497-nucleotide ribosomal RNA is filed under the name uncultured bacterium. RNAcentral's name for it is "partial 16S ribosomal RNA". It matches the Rfam family "Bacterial small subunit ribosomal RNA", at positions 28 to 507 of the family's 1533-position model. The record is from RNAcentral.